RNAcentral lists this small nuclear RNA (20 nucleotides) under Arabidopsis thaliana (thale cress). RNAcentral describes it as "snRNA_08450". Lineage: Eukaryota; Viridiplantae; Streptophyta; Magnoliopsida; Brassicales; Brassicaceae. The record is from RNAcentral.
UGUGGCAGCCAAGCGUUCAU